ACAUAUUGUCGAGCCAUAGCAGCCACAUUUUCCUGUAAGUGAUUCUCAAAGGUGAACUGGAAAGCAAUGGUCAGGACUGACCGAAGGUUAUAGUUGCUCAAAUCAGUUUCACCAGCAGAACGUGCAGCAUUGGCACCAACUUCAAGGGUAGAGGCUAAAUCCAAUGUUCUAGCAGCAGUAGGUUCAUCCUGCAGGAAAAAAAAGUUACUUUACACUUCUUCUAAAUAUAGGUAUCCACAAAAAAAAAAAGUGUAUGCUGAAGACAGCAAUUUUAUGCAAAGACGGACCGUUUUUGGAUCCAGCGGUAUGACACGGAACCCCGAAGGAAGUAGUGGAGCAUCAUCAGCAAAAGAUUCAUCUAUAGGU
This 366-nucleotide long non-coding RNA is filed under the name Cucumis sativus (cucumber). RNAcentral describes it as "long non-coding RNA (CSAT_LNC002562)". The record is from RNAcentral. Lineage: Eukaryota; Viridiplantae; Streptophyta; Magnoliopsida; Cucurbitales; Cucurbitaceae.